GCUUCGAGAUGAGCACUCCCACCUCCUUGAGAGGGUAAGGCUCCCAGUAGACGACUGGGUUGAUAGGCCGGAUAUGGAAGCCCUGUGAGGGGUGGAGUUGACCGGUACUAAUAGGCCGAGGGCUUGUCCU
This 130-nucleotide ribosomal RNA is filed under the name Kitasatospora sp. SolWspMP-SS2h. Its description in RNAcentral is "partial 23S ribosomal RNA". It matches the Rfam family "Bacterial large subunit ribosomal RNA", at positions 2796 to 2925 of the family's 2925-position model. Lineage: Bacteria; Bacillati; Actinomycetota; Actinomycetes; Kitasatosporales; Streptomycetaceae. The record is from RNAcentral.